Molecule: ribosomal RNA, 2923 nt
Filed under: Klebsiella pneumoniae
Lineage: Bacteria; Pseudomonadati; Pseudomonadota; Gammaproteobacteria; Enterobacterales; Enterobacteriaceae
Description: 23S ribosomal RNA
Rfam family: Bacterial large subunit ribosomal RNA
Source: RNAcentral
GGGUUGUGAGGUUAAGCGACUAAGCGUACACGGUGGAUGCCCUGGCAGUCAGAGGCGAUGAAGGACGUGCUAAUCUGCGAAAAGCGUCGGUAAGGUGAUAUGAACCGUUAUAACCGGCGAUGUCCGAAUGGGGAAACCCAGUGCAAUUCGUUGCACUAUCGUUAACUGAAUACAUAGGUUAACGAGGCGAACCGGGGGAACUGAAACAUCUAAGUACCCCGAGGAAAAGAAAUCAACCGAGAUUCCCCCAGUAGCGGCGAGCGAACGGGGAGCAGCCCAGAGUCUGAAUCAGCUUGUGUGUUAGUGGAACGGUCUGGAAAGUCCGACGGUACAGGGUGAUAGUCCCGUACACCAAAAUGCACAGGCUGUGAACUCGAAGAGUAGGGCGGGACACGUGGUAUCCUGUCUGAAUAUGGGGGGACCAUCCUCCAAGGCUAAAUACUCCUGACUGACCGAUAGUGAACCAGUACCGUGAGGGAAAGGCGAAAAGAACCCCGGCGAGGGGAGUGAAAAAGAACCUGAAACCGUGUACGUACAAGCAGUGGGAGCACCUUCGGGUGUGACUGCGUACCUUUUGUAUAAUGGGUCAGCGACUUAUAUUCUGUAGCAAGGUUAACCGUAUAGGGGAGCCGCAGGGAAACCGAGUCUUAACUGGGCGUUAAGUUGCAGGGUAUAGACCCGAAACCCGGUGAUCUAGCCAUGGGCAGGUUGAAGGUUGGGUAACACUAACUGGAGGACCGAACCGACUAAUGUUGAAAAAUUAGCGGAUGACUUGUGGCUGGGGGUGAAAGGCCAAUCAAACCGGGAGAUAGCUGGUUCUCCCCGAAAGCUAUUUAGGUAGCGCCUCGUGAAUUCAUCUUCGGGGGUAGAGCACUGUUUCGGCUAGGGGGUCAUCCCGACUUACCAACCCGAUGCAAACUACGAAUACCGAAGAAUGUUAUCACGGGAGACACACGGCGGGUGCUAACGUCCGUCGUGAAGAGGGAAACAACCCAGACCGCCAGCUAAGGUCCCAAAGUCAUGGUUAAGUGGGAAACGAUGUGGGAAGGCACAGACAGCCAGGAUGUUGGCUUAGAAGCAGCCAUCAUUUAAAGAAAGCGUAAUAGCUCACUGGUCGAGUCGGCCUGCGCGGAAGAUGUAACGGGGCUAAACCAUGCACCGAAGCUGCGGCAGCGACACUAUGUGUUGUUGGGUAGGGGAGCGUUCUGUAAGCCUGCGAAGGUGACCUGUGAGGGUUGCUGGAGGUAUCAGAAGUGCGAAUGCUGACAUAAGUAACGAUAAAGCGGGUGAAAAGCCCGCUCGCCGGAAGACCAAGGGUUCCUGUCCAACGUUAAUCGGGGCAGGGUGAGUCGACCCCUAAGGCGAGGCCGAAAGGCGUAGUCGAUGGGAAACAGGUUAAUAUUCCUGUACUUGGUGUUACUGCGAAGGGGGGACGGAGAAGGCUAUGUUAGCCGGGCGACGGUUGUCCCGGUUUAAGCAUGUAGGCUGGUUAUCCAGGCAAAUCCGGAUAAUCAAGGCUGAGGUGUGAUGACGAGGCACUACGGUGCUGAAGUAACAAAUGCCCUGCUUCCAGGAAAAGCCUCUAAGCAUCAGGUAACAUCAAAUCGUACCCCAAACCGACACAGGUGGUCAGGUAGAGAAUACCAAGGCGCUUGAGAGAACUCGGGUGAAGGAACUAGGCAAAAUGGUGCCGUAACUUCGGGAGAAGGCACGCUGGUGUGUAGGUGAAGCCCCUGCGGGUGGAGCUGAGACCAGUCGAAGAUACCAGCUGGCUGCAACUGUUUAUUAAAAACACAGCACUGUGCAAACACGAAAGUGGACGUAUACGGUGUGACGCCUGCCCGGUGCCGGAAGGUUAAUUGAUGGGGUUAUCCGUAAGGAGAAGCUCUUGAUCGAAGCCCCGGUAAACGGCGGCCGUAACUAUAACGGUCCUAAGGUAGCGAAAUUCCUUGUCGGGUAAGUUCCGACCUGCACGAAUGGCGUAAUGAUGGCCAGGCUGUCUCCACCCGAGACUCAGUGAAAUUGAACUCGCUGUGAAGAUGCAGUGUACCCGCGGCAAGACGGAAAGACCCCGUGAACCUUUACUAUAGCUUGACACUGAACAUUGAGCCUUGAUGUGUAGGAUAGGUGGGAGGCUUUGAAGCGUGGACGCCAGUCUGCGUGGAGCCAACCUUGAAAUACCACCCUUUAAUGUUUGAUGUUCUAACGUUGGCCCCUUACCGGGGUUGCGGACAGUGUCUGGUGGGUAGUUUGACUGGGGCGGUCUCCUCCCAAAGCGUAACGGAGGAGCACGAAGGUUAGCUAAUCCUGGUCGGACAUCAGGAGGUUAGUGCAAUGGCAUAAGCUAGCUUGACUGCGAGCGUGACGGCGCGAGCAGGUGCGAAAGCAGGUCAUAGUGAUCCGGUGGUUCUGAAUGGAAGGGCCAUCGCUCAACGGAUAAAAGGUACUCCGGGGAUAACAGGCUGAUACCGCCCAAGAGUUCAUAUCGACGGCGGUGUUUGGCACCUCGAUGUCGGCUCAUCACAUCCUGGGGCUGAAGUAGGUCCCAAGGGUAUGGCUGUUCGCCAUUUAAAGUGGUACGCGAGCUGGGUUUAGAACGUCGUGAGACAGUUCGGUCCCUAUCUGCCGUGGGCGCUGGAGAAUUGAGGGGGGCUGCUCCUAGUACGAGAGGACCGGAGUGGACGCAUCACUGGUGUUCGGGUUGUCAUGCCAAUGGCACUGCCCGGUAGCUAAAUGCGGAAGAGAUAAGUGCUGAAAGCAUCUAAGCACGAAACUUGCCCCGAGAUGAGUUCUCCCUGAGACUUUAAGUCUCCUGAAGGAACGUUGAAGACGACGACGUUGAUAGGCCGGGUGUGUAAGCGCAGCGAUGCGUUGAGCUAACCGGUACUAAUGAACCGUGAGGCUUAACCUUACAACGCCGAAG